This 1152-nucleotide ribosomal RNA is filed under the name Bacillus sp. WTB-JS040. RNAcentral's name for it is "bacterial SSU rRNA". It matches the Rfam family "Bacterial small subunit ribosomal RNA", at positions 25 to 1164 of the family's 1533-position model. Lineage: Bacteria; Bacillati; Bacillota; Bacilli; Caryophanales; Bacillaceae. The record is from RNAcentral.
CAGGCCAGGCGCGGGCUGCCUAUUAAUGCAAGUCGAGCGGACAGAUGGGAGCUUGCUCCCUGAUGUUAGCGGCGGACGGGUGAGUAACACGUGGGUAACCUGCCUGUAAGACUGGGAUAACUCCGGGAAACCGGGGCUAAUACCGGAUGGUUGUUUGAACCGCAUGGUUCAGACAUAAAAGGUGGCUUCGGCUACCACUUACAGAUGGACCCGCGGCGCAUUAGCUAGUUGGUGAGGUAACGGCUCACCAAGGCGACGAUGCGUAGCCGACCUGAGAGGGUGAUCGGCCACACUGGGACUGAGACACGGCCCAGACUCCUACGGGAGGCAGCAGUAGGGAAUCUUCCGCAAUGGACGAAAGUCUGACGGAGCAACGCCGCGUGAGUGAUGAAGGUUUUCGGAUCGUAAAGCUCUGUUGUUAGGGAAGAACAAGUGCCGUUCAAAUAGGGCGGCACCUUGACGGUACCUAACCAGAAAGCCACGGCUAACUACGUGCCAGCAGCCGCGGUAAUACGUAGGUGGCAAGCGUUGUCCGGAAUUAUUGGGCGUAAAGGGCUCGCAGGCGGUUUCUUAAGUCUGAUGUGAAAGCCCCCGGCUCAACCGGGGAGGGUCAUUGGAAACUGGGGAACUUGAGUGCAGAAGAGGAGAGUGGAAUUCCACGUGUAGCGGUGAAAUGCGUAGAGAUGUGGAGGAACACCAGUGGCGAAGGCGACUCUCUGGUCUGUAACUGACGCUGAGGAGCGAAAGCGUGGGGAGCGAACAGGAUUAGAUACCCUGGUAGUCCACGCCGUAAACGAUGAGUGCUAAGUGUUAUGGGGUUUCCGCCCCUUAGUGCUGCAGCUAACGCAUUAAGCACUCCGCCUGGAGAGUACGGUCGCAAGACUGAAACUCAAAGGAAUUGACGGGGGCCCGCACAAGCGGUGGAGCAUGUGGUUUAAUUCGAAGCAACGCGAAGAACCUUACCAGGUCUUGACAUCCUCUGACAAUCCUAGAGAUAGGACGUCUCCUUCGGGGGCAGAGUGACAGGUGGUGCAUGGUUGUCGUCAGCUCGUGUCGUGAGAUGUUGGGAUAAGUUCCCGCACGAGCGCAACCUUGAUCUUAAGUUGCCAGCAUUCAGUUGGGCACUCCUAAGGUGACUUGCCGUUGGACAAC